Molecule: long non-coding RNA, 1201 nt
Organism: Haliotis rufescens (red abalone)
Lineage: Eukaryota; Metazoa; Mollusca; Gastropoda; Lepetellida; Haliotidae
Exons: 3
Source: RefSeq, a predicted model, not a curated record
UGAUUCAAGAACAACAUCAAUGGCAGAAGCAGUCAGACAAGCCCAUUCUCUCACUUCAAAGUAGCGAGUAGUCCGACAUACCCCAUCCACGUGGAGGCUGGCCCAAUCUCACCUCCAGACUAGCAUCCUAACACGCCUCAGGUAAAACUGACGACAACAAGCAAAAGAUGCUCAGAAUUUCCCUUUCCAUAAACCUCAACCACACAGGAAAGAAAAGACACUGGAGGCAUUAUGAUCAAAUAUUUCGAAGGAAAUGCAACUGUAGAGCAUCAUAGAAGGUUAUUCAUCCCUGCCAGCACUGAGAGUGUCCAUGAGGUUUGUGCUGUGCCCGGCUUGUCAACGGAGAGCAGGGGUUGUGUUAACAUGGGCUGACCUACCCGACACAGGUGAAUUAGCUACUUUCCCGGGGAAAGACGCGCAGGGUGAAAUGGCCUAUUUGACAAGCAGUGUUUGCUGUAGCUGACCUUUUCUACUCCUUUCUACUCCUUCACCACUCUCCAAAAGGGGAUCCGUGCAGUGACUGGCCUGAUCCGUGGCCUGACGAAUGAUGCUGACUUCAUUUACAUUCAACAUUCGGGUCAAAAUGGAGCACGAGUUGUAAAAUAUUUCGUUAUGAGCGACAUUAAAGUGAGAAAGUAUGUUGUGAAUGUUGAUUCAUUGAAACAAAUGCAUCCAUUUCAAACCUGUGGAGACAAGUUAGAAUGGCAUUAACGUGAUCAAUAUGAUAUUAAGGACAUGAAAUUGUCUCUUAAGAUAUUGCUGCAGUUAACAUAUAAUACUGUGAUUAUUGGCUUAGCAAUUAUUUCUCAUCAAAUACGUGUCUCUGGGGUAAGAGGAUUUAGUCUUGCAUCUGACUCAUUGAGGAAGAAGCACACAUACUUGCUCAGACACCAGUCAUCAUUGAUUAAAACAUACAUAUUAUCAAGAGAUGCUUUUAGAGUAAGUGUAGUAAUAUCAGGACUUAGUCACCAAAAUGUGCUUCACUUCACCUACCCACCUACCCACAUAAUGCACAUCAUGGACAGCCAGGCGCCGACUCAUAACCCCAACAUUAAAAGUUAAAAUUUGGGGGGGAAGAAUCAAAUACCAUAGGAGUAUACUCCAGGACCUAAGGCACCCACUUUAACUUCUAAAUUUCUAGUAUUCUCUUAGCUGUGACCAUGGUGAAAGUUAGUGAGUGAGUUUGGUUUUAUGCCGCUUU